GUGAAUCAUCAAAUCUUUGAACGCAAAUUGCACUCUCUGGUAUUCCGGAGAGUAUGCCUGUUUGAGGGUCAGUUUAAAUAAAAAUCGGUGUGGUUGCUUCCUUUCGUGGUGACGCACCGGAUUUGGGUCGUCUUUCCUUCGGUUAAGUGACCUUAAAUUUUGCAUGAUUUUUUUGAAUGCAGUUCAAUUAAUUUACGUUCGUUUACGAUUUUGAUUA
This 217-nucleotide unclassified non-coding RNA is filed under the name Glomeraceae sp. Its description in RNAcentral is "partial contains 5.8S ribosomal RNA and internal transcribed spacer 2". The stretch from base 1 to 71 matches the Rfam family "5.8S ribosomal RNA", at positions 84 to 154 of the family's 154-position model. The record is from RNAcentral. Lineage: Eukaryota; Fungi; Glomeromycota; Glomeromycetes; Glomerales; Glomeraceae.